CAUUAAGAAGCUAUGCAACAGCACUAGCCUUUUAAGCUAGAAAAAGAGGACACCAUUUACCUCCUUAAUGA
RNAcentral lists this transfer RNA (71 nucleotides) under Podargus strigoides (tawny frogmouth). RNAcentral's name for it is "tRNA-Lys". The record is from RNAcentral. Lineage: Eukaryota; Metazoa; Chordata; Aves; Caprimulgiformes; Podargidae.